CUAAAGUUGGAUAAAUCACCAGGACCGGUUGGACUACACCCCAGAUAUCUGAAGGACAUAGUUGAUGAGAUUGUGGCGGCAUUGGUGGGUGAUCUUUCAGGAAUCACUGAAAUUGGGGUUAUCUGCCGAACGGUAUUCAUGCGGUUGAAGCAAUGUUAGCAACAGCCAGCAUUGGAGCCAUUUGGAGUGCAACUGCUCCAGAUUUUGGUGUAAAUGCUCAUGGCUGAACCCAAAAAGAAGACAGAAUGGAUGAAGAUGACCCAUUUUGGCAGAAGGGAAUUAUGUCUUACCAUCAACAAGAAGAAGCCACAGACUUUGCAAGUGUUGUGGAAAUAUUUUCCAUUUCUAAUAUCACCUAAG
Rhincodon typus (whale shark) is the source of this 360-nucleotide long non-coding RNA. RefSeq lists it as uncharacterized. Lineage: Eukaryota; Metazoa; Chordata; Chondrichthyes; Orectolobiformes; Rhincodontidae. The record is from RefSeq and is a predicted model, not a curated record. The transcript is spliced from 3 exons.